CCUACGGGUGGCAGCAGUGAGGAAUAUUGGUCAAUGGGCUUACGCCUGAACCAGCCAAGUCGCGUGAGGGAAGACUGCCCUAUGGGUUGUAAACCUCUUUUGUCAGGGAGCAACGCCGGCUACGUGUAGCCGGACUGAGAGUACCUGAAGAAAAAGCAUCGGCUAACUCCGUCCCAGCAGCCGCGGUAAUACGGAGGAUGCGAGCUUUUUCCGGUUUUUUUGGGUUUAAGGGGUGCGUAAGCGGAAUGCAAAGUCAGUGGUAAAAUCGCGGGGCUCACCCUAGCUUCGCCGUUGAAACUGGCGUUCUUGAGUGGGCGAGAAGUAGGCGGAAUGCGUGGUGUAGCGGUGAAAUGCAUAGAUAUCACGCAGAACUCCGAUUGCGAAGGCAGCAUACCGGCGCCCAACUGACGCUGAAGCACGAAAGCGUGGGUAUCGAACAGGAUUAGAUACCCUGGUAGUC
RNAcentral lists this ribosomal RNA (460 nucleotides) under uncultured bacterium. RNAcentral describes it as "partial 16S ribosomal RNA". It matches the Rfam family "Bacterial small subunit ribosomal RNA", at positions 338 to 795 of the family's 1533-position model. The record is from RNAcentral.